Long non-coding RNA from Triplophysa dalaica, 699 nucleotides. RefSeq lists it as uncharacterized. The transcript is spliced from 3 exons. NCBI's taxonomy places the organism in Eukaryota, Metazoa, Chordata, Actinopteri, Cypriniformes, Nemacheilidae. The record is from RefSeq and is a predicted model, not a curated record.
CACUUCUCCCCAGGUGGCUGCAUUCUGAGUUUUCCCUCCAAUUUGUACAAUUAUGGGAAAAAAAACAUAAGUAAACAACGUCUACUGAGUCGCCCUUGUGGAGUGCUGACCAAAUAUGGGCGCAUUCCUGGAGUGACAUCAGCAAGGGCCGCAGACAUGAAUGAACAUGUGCCAGACUCCGCUCACCUGCGUGUUUGGUGAAACAGGUACACAGGACUCUGGAUUCUGAAUGAGGCCUGGCACCCGAAAAAUGGAAAGAAUCUGCAGUGAGAGACAGAGACAUUACCCAGAGAAAGUGUCUGUGAGGCCACAGAGCUCAGUGAGACAGAAGUGAGGGGAAUGCAGCAAAUACUUUCCAUGUUCUUCGUAAGAUUCACAUAUAACAUACGGGAAUACGUGUGCUUAAGUCAUUCAACAUGUGUAACAUCCAUUCUGAUUUGAAAAGUGAAACUCUGUUUCCAUGAACACAGUUUAGUCAGGGGAUUCCCCUUCCUGGCACUGCCUGGCUUAUGGGUCGAGUCCGCUUCGGAUCUCAUGUUAUAAGAUUUUUAUUGCAUUAAAUAAAAACACAAAGUCAGACUCAGGCAGACACACAAUCUACGUCUGGAGAAACAUCAUGAGGGAUCUGUUUUCAUCUCAGUCUAUAGUCUGAAAAAUAUGACAGAAAAAUAGCAGUGUGUGUCACAUCAACUGUGACUU